This 253-nucleotide ribosomal RNA is filed under the name uncultured bacterium. Its description in RNAcentral is "partial 16S ribosomal RNA". It matches the Rfam family "Bacterial small subunit ribosomal RNA", at positions 524 to 776 of the family's 1533-position model. The record is from RNAcentral.
UACGUAGGGGGCAAGCGUUGUCCGGAUUUAUUGGGCGUAAAGAGCGUGUAGGCGGCCUGACAGGUCAGCUGUGAAAACUCGAGGCUCAACCUCGAGACGUCGGUUGAAACCGUCUGGCUAGAGUCCGGAAGAGGAGUGUGGAAUUCCCGGUGUAGCGGUGAAAUGCGCAGAUAUCGGGAAGAACACCCGUGGCGAAGGCGGCACUCUGGGACGGUACUGACGCUGAGGCGCGAAAGCUAGGGGAGCAAACAGG